Molecule: long non-coding RNA, 1518 nt
Organism: Drosophila pseudoobscura
Lineage: Eukaryota; Metazoa; Arthropoda; Insecta; Diptera; Drosophilidae
Exons: 8
Source: RefSeq, a predicted model, not a curated record
AAACUCCUGGCUGAUUUUAAUAUUAUUUUAUUUUCAGGUUUAUGUUUUGUUUGUAUUUUAUUUGCAGGUUUUGAUUGGUUUGUUUGGAAGCUAUCGUAGUAAGUGAAUUAAUUUGUGUUUUGGCUGAUUAUAAAAUGUAUUCUAUUUGCAGGUUCAAUUGGUUUAUUUGGAGUUUUGCGUUGUAUUUGGUAAGCGAGUCUAUUUCUGUUUUGGCUGAUUUUGAUUGUAUUUUAUUUGCAGGUUUUGAUUGGUUUGUUUGAUGGCUAUCGUAGUAAGUGAAUUGAUUUGUGUUUUGGCUGAUUAUUAAAUGUAUUCUAUUUGCAGGUUCAAUUGAUUUAUUUGGAGGUUUGCGUUGUAUUUGGUAAGCGAGUCUAUUUAUGUUUUGGCUGAUUUUGAUUGUAUUUUAUUUGCAGAUAUUGAUUGGUUCGUUUGGAAGCUAGCGUGGUUCAAUUGGUUUAUUUGGAGGUGUGCGUUGAAUUUGAUUGUGAUUGGUUUGUUUGGAAGCUAGCGUGGUUCAAUUGGUUUAUUUGGAGGUGUGCGUUGAAUUUGCGUGGUUCAAUUGGUUUAUUUGGAGGUGUGCGUUGAAUUUGGUUUUGAUUGGUUUGCUUGAAGGUGAUUUGGUUUAUACUUUCUGGACUUGGUGAUAAUGCGUCAAUCCUCGCCGUAACCAUUGGACCAAGUCUUAACCACUCGGCUGGAGGACGCCUUCCUUUUCAUCCCCUCUGUGGUCUGGCACCAUAAUUCCUUGUAUACCCAAUGGCUGGCCCCUGAUUCCUUCAAGUAUUGUCUCCCUAGUGCAUUUCCCUUGAGUAUACAUUCCUCUGUACAUGUUCAUUUGCAGUUCGCAGAAUCUGUCCGGGUGUCUGUUUUGUUUUUUUUUUUUUCUUUCUACGGGCUCUUAUUGUCCAUUUUAGCCUUUUCUUCAUUCUCCAAUCCAAAGUUCAGCCAUUUUAUUUUUGAACCCGCAGGCGUUCAAGAAAGUUGUUUUAAGCCUAUUGGAGUUGGGCAGGUUAGCCCCGGUCGUGUCAAGAGUUUGUGGCGGAAAGCGAUUGGAAUGUGGGAAAUGGCUUGCGUUAUUAUUGUUUGUGUUCAUGUCUGUAAAUUAUUGGCUAGUUUAGUUAGAUGUAAUGUAUAGCAAUGAGUUGUUUUAUUGUUUGUUUUCUAUUUGAUUGAGGAUAUUUGUUGUUUUGUGAUGUUCAGAAUUGUUUGUAGUGUUAUUUAUAUUGUCAGUAUUUUUGGGGGGAAGGUUUUGCAGUAGAGUGUGAAUUUGGCUAAUUGACGCCAUGAUGUCCUUAAUACUGAGCUCAAUUACAUUGAGCCUGUCUUCAAACCGCUUGUUCUCCUGUUCAGCGGGGCCCUCUGUCAUUACUUUUGCAGACUGCGAGAGCGCCAUCUGCUCCUCCCUCAGUCUACUCUGGAAUUUCUCUAGGUGGCUGGCGGCUGGGUUGACAUUCGUGACACCGGUUUUUGGAGCCCGUCCCUUCCCUAUUCUGUCCUUCUUGUGGCUGGAUGUUUGUU